GACGAACGCUGGCGGCGUGCUUAACACAUGCAAGUCGAACGAUGAAGCUGGAGCUUGCUCCGGUGGAUUAGUGGCGAACGGGUGAGUAACACGUGAGCAAUCUGCCCUUGACUCUGGGAUAACUGCGGGAAACUGUAGCUAAUACCGGAUACUUUCACUGGAAGGCAUCUUCUGGUGAAGAAAGAAUUUCGGUCAAGGAUGAGCUCGCGGCCUAUCAGCUUGUUGGUGAGGUAACGGCUCACCAAGGCGACGACGGGUAGCCGGCCUGAGGGGGUGACCGGCCACACUGGGACUGAGACACGGCCCAGACUCCUACGGGAGGCAGCAGUGGGGAAUAUUGCACAAUGGGCGCAAGCCUGAUGCAGCAACGCCGCGUGAGGGAUGAAGGCCUUCGGGUUGUAAACCUCUUUUAGCAGGGAAGAGGCGAAAGUGACGGUACCUGCAGAAAAAGCACCGGCUAACUACGUGCCAGCCGCCGCUGUAA
Molecule: ribosomal RNA, 484 nt
Filed under: uncultured bacterium
Lineage: Bacteria
Description: partial 16S ribosomal RNA
Rfam family: Bacterial small subunit ribosomal RNA
Source: RNAcentral